AUGCAAAACUAUUAGAAUAUGUGAUGCAAGUUUUAAAAAAAUCGAAACAUUUUUGUUAAAUAGGUUAUUUAAUACAUUAGUUUAUUAUGAGAUGAUAUUCUCCAAUGAGAGCAAGAAAUUCAAAAUCAGUCAACUUUACACCCGAUCGAACACCCCUUUAAAAUUGUGAAGCAUGUUUCAAUAACUCAAAAAUCUCAACUGACACGAAUACUUUGUGGCAGGAUUUUCUCAGUUUUUUUCGUCGCGCUCGACGGUCUCGGUUGCCCAGGCGAUUCCAAGUUAUUCCCAUUCCAUUCUAGGCUAUGCCAUCUAUUAUUUUUUCUCGAUCAUCGCGCACUUGGCAAAUUUUGCGGUGUUCUUUGAAGUGUUGGCUUUCCAACGAUCGGCACACAUACGUCAUCCUAGAUUGGCACUACGGGCGAAUGACAGGCGUUAGGAAGUUGUGAGUAAUAAAUAGAUAUUUUUACACAAAAUAUGGUUUUAUGCUGAUUUCGUUAUUUAAAGUGCGUUAUAUUAACUAUUAAAAACUGCCUUCUGCAGGAAAGGACUGUUUUUUUUCCUCGAUCACACCGCGGGCUAUUUGAUUUGAAUUUGAUUUUCUUCUUACUUAUUCUUUCUUCUUCUUACUUCCUUCUUUCUUCUUGGACAAUUGUUUUGUAAUAGCUUCUUCAUCUCUCUCCUAAACACUUCUAAACCCUAUUACCGUUAAAACAUUGUAAAUGAAACAAAUAAAGAAGUUGGAUAUUACCGCGAGUUGAUCGCUGCAACAAUUUUCAAAAUUUAUGCUUUAUGCUUGGUGUGCUGGUGUGAAAAAAGAGGAAAGACAAGGAACUGUCUGUGAAAGAAGUUUCUACAAGGAAAAGUACGCAUGUGAAUGCUUGAAGAUCGAAGAACUUAAAACACUUCCCCAAAACUCGCAAUAGUGGUUUGCAAGCGUAUGGAUUGUAGAAUCAGACUACGCCGAAGAGAGAGUGAAAGUAUGAGUGAGUUCAUGAAGCGAUCAAGAAAAGGCUAAGAUGCGCGUGGAUCGGACAGGUUAGGAAGAGCUCUUAGGAACGUGCUUCGAAAUAGUGCCGAUCGAGUGUUUCCCUGGUGGAAGGUAGCAGACGGACAGCGAGAAAACGUUACUCCAGAGUAACGAAGAAGAGGGUGCGUCGUGUAAAACCGCCCGUAGACGGUGCAUACUUGAGGCCGGCGACUUUUGACAACCACCGAUUUUCUUUCGUUCUUGUAUGCUGUCAGAUGCGUCUCUGUAGCUCAAGAUCCGGGAACGUUUCACGUUUGACUUCCCUAAGGAUGUUGGUCCCGCACUUCUUUGGUGUCUCCCCACUCCGUCGGAAGAAUUAGGCGAAACUAGCCAGCUUCGGCAGACGGUUAAAUACUUCUCUUGGUCAUCCGACUCUCUACUACUUCUCGUGGUAACCGCCCGACUCUAACGAUUCUAAUACAGUAAAAUGAAUCUGCGCGGAGGUUUCCGAAUCGACCAUUCCUUCGCGUGCCCGGUUCAACAACGGUUCGUUAUCGAACUAACACUUUGACAAAAUAUGAAGUGAAAAAUGUUCAUUGGCUGUUUCAGCCGGUGGAAUACGAUUGCGUCUUGUAGGGAUCAUCAUGCACUGCAAGAUACUACGAGCCGUGAUUCCGGUCAUACACCGUUUUUGAACCCAACCAAACAACCGACAGCUCCAUCUAAGCAACAGUCAAUCGUAAGUAAACAUUUGCCGUCUAACUAAACUUCAGACGUCCAACUAAACAGCGUUCAACCGUAACUAAACAUUUACAACCUCCAACCAAACCAAAUGUAUAUAGUACAGGGUUUACUUCUUAGUAAGCGUUCGCGUGUCUUGUCAGUCACAGGUAAACACAUGCACAUACAUACACACACAUGUAUUACAAUACCAACUAAUACUAAUACUAAUAAUACAAUAAUAACAACUAGGAAUUGUGAAAAUUACUUUCACCAUAUGUGGGGUUACCUUUCGCGAUGUUUGAUGGGAGAAGAGAUUACUGAUUAAGGAAUGAAUUGAAUACUUAUAAAAAUUAGAUAAAUAAUUUCACAAUUUCAAAACAUUUCUCUUCCAUUCCAGAUUCGAUGCAAAUGGAACGAUCCUGGUAAAAAUAGAAGGUAAACCUUUUUUGUGAAAGUUUAAAAAAAAAACCAUGAAAAACCAACUAAAAUUUCAAGCAAUAAUAAAAAA
This is an RNA transcript of Anopheles stephensi (Asian malaria mosquito), 2198 nucleotides long. RefSeq lists it as uncharacterized. The record is from RefSeq and is a predicted model, not a curated record. Lineage: Eukaryota; Metazoa; Arthropoda; Insecta; Diptera; Culicidae. The transcript is spliced from 3 exons.